GACGAACGCUGGCGGCGUGCUUAACACAUGCAAGUCGAACGGAAAGGCCCUGCUUGCAGGGUGCUCGAGUGGCGAACGGGUGAGUAACACGUGGGUGAUCUGCCCCUUACUUUGGGAUAAGCCUGGGAAACUGGGUCUAAUACUGGAUAGGACCAUGCUGUAGGUGGUGUGGUGGAAAGAUUUUUUCGGUAAGGGAUGAGCUCGCGGCCUAUCAGCUUGUUGGGGGGGUAAUGGCCUACCAAGGCGUCGACGGGUAGCCGGCCUGAGAGGGUGGACGGCCACAUUGGGACUGAGAUACGGCCCAGACUCCUACGGGAGGCAGCAGUGGGGAAUAUUGCACAAUGGGCGCAAGCCUGAUGCAGCGACGCCGCGUGGGGGAUGACGGCCUUCGGGUUGUAAACUCCUUUCAGCCAUGACGAAGCCUCUUUUGGGGUGACGGUAGUGGUAGAAGAAGCACCGGCUAACUACGUG
RNAcentral lists this ribosomal RNA (471 nucleotides) under uncultured bacterium. RNAcentral describes it as "partial 16S ribosomal RNA". It matches the Rfam family "Bacterial small subunit ribosomal RNA", at positions 28 to 507 of the family's 1533-position model. The record is from RNAcentral.